GAUGAACGCUGGCGGCGUGCCUAAUACAUGCAAGUCGAGCGAACAGACGAGGAGCUUGCUCCUCUGACGUUAGCGGCGGACGGGUGAGUAACACGUGGAUAACCUACCUAUAAGACUGGGAUAACUUCGGGAAACCGGAGCUAAUACCGGAUAAUAUAUUGAACCGCAUGGUUCAAUAGUGAAAGACGGUUUUGCUGUCACUUAUAGAUGGAUCCGCGCCGCAUUAGCUAGUUGGUAAGGUAACGGCUUACCACGGCAACGAUGCGUAGCCGACCUGAGAGGCUGAUCGGCCACACUGGAACUGAGCCACGGUCCAGACUCCUACGGGAGGCAGCAGUAGGGAAUCUUCCGCAAUGGGCGAAAGCCUGACGGAGCAACGCCGCGUGAGUGAUGAAGGUCUUCGGAUCGUAAAACUCUGUUAUUAGGGAAGAACAAAUGUGUAAGUAACUAUGCACGUCUUGACGGUACCUAAUCAGAAAGCCACGGCUAACUACGUG
This 497-nucleotide ribosomal RNA is filed under the name uncultured bacterium. RNAcentral describes it as "partial 16S ribosomal RNA". It matches the Rfam family "Bacterial small subunit ribosomal RNA", at positions 28 to 507 of the family's 1533-position model. The record is from RNAcentral.